Molecule: ribosomal RNA, 631 nt
Filed under: uncultured Hydrogenophaga sp.
Lineage: Bacteria; Pseudomonadati; Pseudomonadota; Betaproteobacteria; Burkholderiales; Comamonadaceae
Description: bacterial SSU rRNA
Rfam family: Bacterial small subunit ribosomal RNA
Source: RNAcentral
GCGCUAAUACCGCAUACGAUCUAUGGAUGAAAGCGGGGGACCGUAAGGCCCUCGCGCGAUUGGAGCGGCCGAUGUCAGAUUAGGUAGUGGGUGGGGUAGAGGCUCACCAAGCCAACGAUCUGUAGCUGGUCUGAGAGGACGACCAGCCACACUGGGACUGAGACACGGCCCAGACUCCUACGGGAGGCAGCAGUGGGGAAUUUUGGACAAUGGGCGCAAGCCUGAUCCAGCAAUGCCGCGUGCAGGAAGAAGGCCUUCGGGUUGUAAACUGCUUUUGUACGGAACGAAAAGGCUCUGGUUAAUACCUGGGGCAUAUGACGGUACCGUAAGAAUAAGCACCGGCUAACUACGUGCCAGCAGCCGCGGUAAUACGUAGGGUGCAAGCGUUAAUCGGAAUUACUGGGCGUAAAGCGUGCGCAGGCGGUUUUGUAAGACAGGCGUGAAAUCCCCGGGCUCAACCUGGGAAUUGCGCUUGUGACUGCAAGGCUGGAGUGCGGCAGAGGGGGAUGGAAUUCCGCGUGUAGCAGUGAAAUGCGUAGAUAUGCGGAGGAACACCGAUGGCGAAGGCAAUCCCCUGGGCCUGCACUGACGCUCAUGCACGAAAGCGUGGGGAGCAAACAGGAUUAGAUAC